This 452-nucleotide ribosomal RNA is filed under the name Salmonella enterica subsp. enterica serovar Typhimurium. Its description in RNAcentral is "partial 23S ribosomal RNA". It matches the Rfam family "Bacterial large subunit ribosomal RNA", at positions 31 to 522 of the family's 2925-position model. Lineage: Bacteria; Pseudomonadati; Pseudomonadota; Gammaproteobacteria; Enterobacterales; Enterobacteriaceae. The record is from RNAcentral.
CCCUGGCAGUCAGAGGCGAUGAAGGGCGUGCUAAUCUGCGAUAAGCGCCGGUAAGGUGAUAUGAACCGUUAUAACCGGCGAUACCCGAAUGGGGAAACCCAGUGUGACUCGUCACACUAUCAUUAACUGAAUCCAUAGGUUAAUGAGGCGAACCGGGGGAACUGAAACAUCUAAGUACCCCGAGGAAAAGAAAUCAACCGAGAUUCCCCCAGUAGCGGCGAGCGAACGGGGAGGAGCCCAGAGCCUGAAUCAGCAUGUGUGUUAGUGGAAGCGUCUGGAAAGGCGCGCGAUACAGGGUGACAGCCCCGUACACAAAAGCGCAUGUGCUGUGAGCUCGAUGAGUAGGGCGGGACACGUGGUAUCCUGUCUGAAUAUGGGGGGACCAUCCUCCAAGGCUAAAUACUCCUGACUGACCGAUAGUGAACCAGUACCGUGAGGGAAAGGCGAAAAGA